AUUGAACGCUGGCGGCAUGCCUAACACAUGCAAGUCGAACGGCAGCGCGGACUUCGGUCUGGCGGCGAGUGGCGGACGGGUGAGGAAUGCAUCGGAAUCUGCCCCGACGUGGGGGAUAACGUAGGGAAACUUACGCUAAUACCGCAUACGUCCUAACGGGGAAAGCAGGGGAUCGAAAGACCUUGCGCGGCGGGAUGAGCCGAUGCCGGAUUAGCUAGUUGGCGGGUAAAGCCCACAAGGCGACGAUCCGUAGCUGGUCUGAGAGGAUGAUCAGCCACACUGGGACUGAGACACGGCCCAGACUCCUACGGGAGGCAGCAGUGGGGGAAUAUUGGACAAUGGGGGCAACCCUGAUCCAGCAAUGCCGCGUGUGUGAAGAAGGCCUGG
Molecule: ribosomal RNA, 387 nt
Filed under: uncultured bacterium
Lineage: Bacteria
Description: bacterial SSU rRNA
Rfam family: Bacterial small subunit ribosomal RNA
Source: RNAcentral